This 64-nucleotide transfer RNA is filed under the name Dyscolus pollens. RNAcentral describes it as "tRNA-Leu". The record is from RNAcentral. Lineage: Eukaryota; Metazoa; Arthropoda; Insecta; Coleoptera; Carabidae.
AUUAUUUUGGCAGAUUAGUGCACUGAAUUUAGAAUUCAUAUAUGUAAUUAUUUUACAAAUAAUA